AUGUUAGCGGCGGACGGGUGAGUAACACGUGGAUAACCUACCUAUAAGACUGGGAUAACUUCGGGAAACCGGAGCUAAUACCGGAUAAUAUUUUGAACCGCAUGGUUCAAAAGUGAAAGACGGUCUUGCUGUCACUUAUAGAUGGAUCCGCGCUGCAUUAGCUAGUUGGUAAGGUAACGGCUUACCAAGGCAACGAUGCAUAGCCGACCUGAGAGGGUGAUCGGCCACACUGGAACUGAGACACGGUCCAGACUCCUACGGGAGGCAGCAGUAGGGAAUCUUCCGCAAUGGGCGAAAGCCUGACGGAGCAACGCCGCGUGAGUGAUGAAGGUCUUCGGAUCGUAAAACUCUGUUAUUAGGGAAGAACAUAUGUGUAAGUAACUGUGCACAUCUUGACGGUACCUAAUCAGAAAGCCACGGCUAACUACGUGCCAGCAGCCGCGGUAAUACGUAGGUGGCAAGCGUUAUCCGGAAUUAUUGGGCGUAAAGCGCGCGUAGGCGGUUUUUUAAGUCUGAUGUGAAAGCCCACGGCUCAACCGUGGAGGGUCAUUGGAAACUGGAAAACUUGAGUGCAGAAGAGGAAAGUGGAAUUCCAUGUGUAGCGGUGAAAUGCGCAGAGAUAUGGAGGAACACCAGUGGCGAAGGCGACUUUCUGGUCUGUAACUGACGCUGAUGUGCGAAAGCGUGGG
This 689-nucleotide ribosomal RNA is filed under the name Staphylococcus aureus. RNAcentral's name for it is "bacterial SSU rRNA". It matches the Rfam family "Bacterial small subunit ribosomal RNA", at positions 89 to 765 of the family's 1533-position model. The record is from RNAcentral. Lineage: Bacteria; Bacillati; Bacillota; Bacilli; Caryophanales; Staphylococcaceae.